Molecule: ribosomal RNA, 497 nt
Filed under: uncultured bacterium
Lineage: Bacteria
Description: partial 16S ribosomal RNA
Rfam family: Bacterial small subunit ribosomal RNA
Source: RNAcentral
GAUGAACGCUGGCGGCGUGCCUAAUACAUGCAAGUCGAGCGAACGGACGAGAAGCUUGCUUCUCUGAUGUUAGCGGCGGACGGGUGAGUAACACGUGGAUAACCUACCUAUAAGACUGGGAUAACUUCGGGAAACCGGAGCUAAUACCGGAUAAUAUUUUGAACCGCAUGGUUCAAAAGUGAAAGACGGUCUUUCUGUCACUUAUAGAUGGAUCCGCGCUGCAUUAGCUAGUUGGUAAGGUAACGGCUUACCAAGGCAACGAUGCAUAGCCGACCUGAGAGGGGGAUCGGCCACACUGGAACUGGGACACGGUCCAGGCUCCUACGGGAGGCAGCAGUAGGGAAUCUUCCGCAAAGGGCGAAAGCCUGACGGAGCAACGCCGCGUGAGUGAUGAAGGUCUUCGGAUCGUAAAACUCUGUUAUUAGGGAAGAACAUAUGUGUAAGUAACUGUGCACAUCUUGACGGUACCUAAUCAGAAAGCCACGGCUAACUACGUG